UACGAAGGGGGCUAGCGUUGCUCGGAAUUACUGGGCGUAAAGCGUACGUAGGCGGCUUCUUAAGUCGGUGGUGAAAUCCUGGAGCUCAACUCCAGAACUGCCUUCGAUACUGGGAAGCUCGAGUCCGGGAGAGGUGAGUGGAACUCCGAGUGUAGAGGUGAAAUUCGUAGAUAUUCGGAAGAACACCAGUGGCGAAGGCGAACUUACUGGACACAUAUUGACGCUGAGGUGCGAAAGCGUGGGGAGCAAACAGGG
RNAcentral lists this ribosomal RNA (255 nucleotides) under uncultured bacterium. Its description in RNAcentral is "partial 16S ribosomal RNA". It matches the Rfam family "Bacterial small subunit ribosomal RNA", at positions 524 to 777 of the family's 1533-position model. The record is from RNAcentral.